CAUGACUGUAGGACCGAGAGGAGACUGAGAAACACAGGAAGCACCAGAGUGGUUGAAAGGAGCUGAAGACUCAGACAGCAGCCUAGACACUAAGGGUCCAAAGCCAAGGCCAAGGUCAAGCAGCUGGACAGAGACACAACUGCAAGCACAGACGUGGAUCCUGACCUGAUUUUCUGCAGAAGCAAGUCCCUGUUCAGAUUUCUACUGCCUCCUUUUGGAAUGAAGCCAGACCGGUCCUUUCCAUCAUGUGCUCCUGUGGACAAUGACCCCAGCUCAGCUAAGUAGUUGAUGGGACGUCUGAUUCAGGUUGGACUUAACAGAGACGUCUGAUUCAAUCAGUAUUCUUCUCCAGAAAUUUUGUAACCAGGACUUGUAAAGGGAGGGAAUUGCUCUCCAGUGGGGAGAGCCGCAGAACGUGAGAUGUGGGGACCAAAGGCAGCCAUGUUUUCUGUCUUGUGAUGGAAUCCAAUCUUCGGCAGGAGAAAAAAUAUGAAGCCAGCACUAGACAACACAUAUCAAAUAGGGACCAUUGCUUCAGCCUGACUCCAGGAAUCAGCAGACAGAGCAGCCUUAUUGUCCACCUGCUUCCUGCAGCACAGCCUCAGAACCACAGAGUUACAGCCAACCAGCUCCUGAUACGGAACUUAAGCAACAAAUGCCCUUUGUUUUUGCAAGUCCCUGAGAUUUAGAAGCUGUUACACAGCAUUCUCUCAGCCAGAACCGACUGACA
This is a non-coding RNA of Saimiri boliviensis boliviensis (Bolivian squirrel monkey), 730 nucleotides long. The record is from RefSeq and is a predicted model, not a curated record. NCBI's taxonomy places the organism in Eukaryota, Metazoa, Chordata, Mammalia, Primates, Cebidae.